This 253-nucleotide ribosomal RNA is filed under the name uncultured bacterium. Its description in RNAcentral is "partial 16S ribosomal RNA". It matches the Rfam family "Bacterial small subunit ribosomal RNA", at positions 524 to 776 of the family's 1533-position model. The record is from RNAcentral.
UACGAAGGGGGCUAGCGUUGCUCGGAAUCACUGGGCGUAAAGCGCACGUAGGCGGACUCUUAAGUCGGUGGUGAAAUCCUGGAGCUCAACUCCAGGACUGCCUUCGAUACUGAGAGUCUCGAGUCCGAGAGAGGUGAGUGGAACUGCGAGUGUAGAGGUGAAAUUCGUAGAUAUUCGCAAGAACACCAGUGGCGAAGGCGGCUCACUGGCUCGGUACUGACGCUGAGGUGCGAAAGCGUGGGGAGCAAACAGG